CCCAGACUCCUACGGGAGGCAGCAGUGGGGAAUAUUGCACAAUGGGGGAAACCCUGAUGCAGCGACGCCGCGUGAGUGAAGAAGUAUUUCGGUAUGUAAAGCUCUAUCAGCAGGGAAGAAGCAAGACGGUACCUGACUAAGGAGCCCCGGCUAACUACGUGCCAGCAGCCGCGGUAAUACGUAGGGGGCAAGCGUUAUCCGGAUUUACUGGGUGUAAAGGGGGCGCAGACGGCGAUGCAAGCCAGGAGUGAAAGCCCGGGGCCCAACCCCGGGACUGCUCUUGGAACUGCGCGGCUGGAGUGCAGGAGGGGCAGGCGGAAUUCCUGGUGUAGCGGUGAAAUGCGUAGAUAUCAGGAGGAACACCGGUGGCGAAGGCGGCCUGCUGGACUGCAACUGACGUUGAGGCCCGAAAGCGUGGGGAGCAAACAGGAUUAGAUACCCCCGUAA
This 447-nucleotide ribosomal RNA is filed under the name uncultured bacterium. RNAcentral describes it as "bacterial SSU rRNA". It matches the Rfam family "Bacterial small subunit ribosomal RNA", at positions 330 to 793 of the family's 1533-position model. The record is from RNAcentral.